Molecule: ribosomal RNA, 505 nt
Filed under: uncultured bacterium
Lineage: Bacteria
Description: bacterial SSU rRNA
Rfam family: Bacterial small subunit ribosomal RNA
Source: RNAcentral
AGCGAACGUUUGCGGCGGGCUUAACACAUGCAAGUCGAACGAAAAUCCCUUCGGGGAGGAAAGUGGCGCACGGGUGCGUAACACGUGGAUAACCAACCCAUUGGUUUGGGACAACACCGGGAAACUGGUGCUAAUACCAGAUGUGUCGCAGCUGUCUUCAGGCGGUUGCGAGAAAGGCCCGCAAGGGUCGCCAACGGACGGGUCCGCGUCCCAUCAGCUAGUUGGUGAGGUAAUGGCUCACCAAGGCAAAGACGGGUAGCUGGUCUGAGAGGAUGAUCAGCCACACUGGAAUUGAGACACGGUCCAGACUCCUACGGGAGGCAGCAGUGGGGAAUAUUGCGCAAUGGGCGAAAGCCUGACGCAGCCACGCCGCGUGAGCGAUGAAGGUCUUCGGAUCGUAAAGCUCUGUGGGGGGAGAAGAAGAAAGCCGGUGAAGAGCCGGCCCUGACGGUAUCCCCUUAGCAAGCACCGGCUAACUCCGUGCCAGCAGCCGCGGUAAAGUCAG